GGCUGUGUGGGCAGAGAAACAACAAUUACAACACUUGAGUACAAAAAUAUACUUGCAAAUAUCAAUUUUGUGCCAUUUUAUACUUUUACUCACUAAAUCUUAGAGGGAAAUAUUGUACAUUUUUACCUGACAGCUACAAUUACACUUUGGAUUAACGUUUCACAUUUAAAACAUCUGUCAUUAUCUUGCAAAAUAAAAUGCCUUGUUAAAUAUUGUACUCGUGGUUUCCAAACUUUUGGAGCAGCUUGUGGCUCUUUACAAAAACAAGAAGUCUCUACUUUGGGUGACAGAUCUCAAUGAGUUGUUUUUCACUUCCAGCAAAGAGACAGCCCAAGACACACAGAGGUAAAACUGGCCAAUAUUUCACAAAGCAAGCAAAAACUUGGGAGAAAUCCAAAACAAAUAACACAAAUAUACAAAGCAGAACUUUGUUUUUUCUUCUUUGGCACGACAGUAAUCAUGUCAUGGCCCCUCACAUUUAUACUGCAACCUUUUAGAAUAGCCUGACCCACCAAUUGGACACCAGUGGACUAAACUAAAUAUAAAGUUAAAUAAACUAGCUCCACCAUGAACAUUGCCAACAGUAAAAUGCUAAAUAUCAUUAGCACUAGUAAGAUUAACCAUCUAAAAAUGUCAUAUAUUAUAAAAACCACUUCAUCCCCCAGACUUACAUGCUUGACAUUUUCAGAUAUUUGAACUAAAGUAGGAUUGUUAAUGCAAAACUUUUAAUGUAGUUUUACAUACUGAAGUGGACGAUCUGAAUACUUAAGAAUACCACAGAAAAUAAACGAUGGUUUUGUGUGUUUGCUUGACCAGAAACAGAACUGAAUCAGUGCUCUCUGUCAUUUUUCUGCUGCCUACUUUCGAGCACCAGAAUCUCAACUAUGUGAGCAGAUACGCUGUCGCAGUACAGCAGCCGUGUGAGCCAAAGAAAACAGGACACUAAAGUCCCAGGAACUGAUUCAGACUAGACAGAAAACUGAAUUAUUAAAGCCCGCAAGAAAAAAUGUCUUCUGUUGAGAUUUGCUUGGUUCCAGAUGUAUUUUGGCUCGUCAGCCUUUAGUGGGCUCCAUCCUGAUUCACUGACGGGUCAGAUAUCUACCAUCGCCAGGACUGAACUCCUCGACUAUCCACCACCGACAGAUCCUGUCACUUAAAAAAACAAAACAAAAACACAAGCAGACAGUUGACAUACGUGUUAAUAUUUCCAUCUGAUGUAAUAUCCUUUGACGAGGGAACAAUAGUGUCACUUUCUAACCCACAACAUAAGUCUUAGUUCAUCCAACAGAUGCCAGAGGCUUGACAAAAUGUGUUCCCCACCCAUCAUUCCUGCGAUCUAAACCAGUGUCAGAGGUCAACAGACAAGGACAGCGUGUUCCUCGUAAGUGUUUUACACUCAGGCCUGUGGUUACGACAACGUGGGGCCCUCUCUGCCUGAUAGGGAUGUUUACAUUUAUGGUAUCAGAGCCUGAGGAGGCUCUUUUCCGGUUUCCAGGAAACCUUUUCUUCUCUUUUUUCCCUGCUGAAAACAUGACGAAUGUCACAUGUUCCAGCAAAUAACAAACUCUUAGCAAAGUAUAUUUUCAUUUUAGUUUAUUUUGUGGAGGUUUUCAGGCACUGUUUAUGAGGGAUUUAAGACCUAAUGGCUUUGUUAGUGUCCAGUAAUAAUUCAGCCAUGACUGUUUAUACAGUAAUCCAUGAAUAAAUGCUCACUGGGUUCUUGCUAUAAUAAGCCAUUAUGUCCGCAGUAAAUAUAUAAAUGUCGGAAGACAAGGAUUAAUAAAGAAUGGUUACAAUUAUC
Molecule: long non-coding RNA, 1801 nt
Organism: Acanthopagrus latus (yellowfin seabream)
Lineage: Eukaryota; Metazoa; Chordata; Actinopteri; Spariformes; Sparidae
Exons: 2
Source: RefSeq, a predicted model, not a curated record